Hyalella azteca is the source of this 3491-nucleotide long non-coding RNA. RefSeq lists it as uncharacterized. The transcript has 4 exons. The record is from RefSeq and is a predicted model, not a curated record. NCBI's taxonomy places the organism in Eukaryota, Metazoa, Arthropoda, Malacostraca, Amphipoda, Hyalellidae.
AGUUUGUAAAAUAGAGUGAAUAUUGUAAAUAUAUAUUUAUUUCAAAUAUUCUGCCAUAAAUGCAAUCAUCUUCAGAGAUUGAGAAAGAAGUUGAAAAAGGUGGUAGUGGCGGGCAUAUGUAUUGGAUCCACGCCCCGCAUCCUGGUAACAUAGUAAUUCAUCCAAAAAUGUUGGCCCUUUUAAUUGAAACUGCUUACAAUGCUAUUCAUAUUUAAAAGUGUUUGAAUGAGGACACUUUUUGGACUGGACAUCUUAUCAUAGAGUUCUACCAAUCUCAGAACAAAACUAAACCAUUACUGAACCCAAAAUAAAACUGACCUAAAUCACUUGUAAGGAGGAUCAAGUUUCGUUGUCGUGUCAAGAAGAGCAAUAAAGCAUCUGGCAACGCUCCUCAUUAUUUCUGCAUUGCUAAAUGAUAUGGCUGGCACUUGCAUGGUGUUGCAAGUAUGAAGAGACCCACUGCAUUCACCAACCAUCCCAAGGUUCAAAGACGUGGUUCUGUAAGGUGUUCAAGCCAAAAGCAUGUUGGGCACAGAUGAAGAGUCUGCUGCCAGAACUGACAGGUUUUCCAGCGUCACUCUGAAGAUUAUUGUUCAGCAACUCCUUGCCUGUCCAUGCUCCGUAAUCUAUAUUUUAACUGAAUUCGAAUUCUUCAAAUUCCUUUUACUCCACAUACUCUGCUCACAUACAACAUAUUAAACAUAUUGUCUUUACUUGGGUCCUUGCAAGUGGUGGGUACACAUGCCCUUGCUUUAAUCCAUGUUGUUAGCCUUAACUAUUUUACCUCAGGGUCCUCUGCCCUUGUUUUGUAAUAAAAGGUUCGUAAUGUAAAAUCCCGUUUUAAAUAAUUACUUUAAUUAGAGUUACUCUUUCAUUCUCCAAUUCUUACUGGGUUGUAGCCAGAGAAAAUUCAAAAGUAGGUGACGAGUUUGCCUUGCCCGUGGCAAGAGACAAUACCCCGGAAACAUGGCAUCUCCGACGGUAUUUUUUUUUUCUAGAGCACAUUCUUUCAGUCACUAUCCCAUUUUUCCACCAACACAUUUUUCACAUUCUUCAUUAUGGCUUCCUCUGGGCCCUCAAGAGGAUCUAAUUUGGCGGAGCAUGGGCGGGACAGCACUGCAGCACGGGUUGAUCUGCUUGAUGCAGCCCUCAGUGAGCACCCUACUUCUGUCAACCCACUAGAGAUGUCUGACACUGAUGGACCAAAUGGCUUGACUAUGAAGACUGGGUCAAGCCCGGGAGAAAGCACUAAGGCCCUGCAAGUUGAGAGACCUGAUGUAGGUAGCCAAAAUUGUAGCAAUUCAGCAGUGUUGGUUGUUUUCUCAUGCGCAAGCCCAAGCUGAUUUUCUUAAUGGGAAGUUUGGGAUGGGUGUCAAUCCAGGCAUUCUACCGGUACUGGAUGAACUGCGCUGGACAAUUUUUCCUCUUUUGCUUGGCGGUGGCUUCUCUGCUGCAAUGCCUAGAAAUGAGAAUGCUGCCCAUCUUCCUUGCCAAAUUUGAGAAUGCUGAUCAGUGUUUGACUUAUCAUGGCAUAUCAGUGUUUGACUUAUCAUGGCGGUGUUUGACUUAUAAAGUGCAUACAUGAUCUUCCCAGUGAUAAUGAAGUGAACCCCUCAACCCCAGUUAUGAGGUCGAGAGUAUGUGAACUGAAUGUGGAGGAAUCAGCAGAUGAUUUCUCAAAAUUGAACACAGCAAUUUAGGUUUGGCAAGCAAUAUUACUUGCUCAGAACUCUCAAGGUACUGGAUAAUGAAGAAAGAAGUAAAAUAAAAGGCAACCCAACUGUUUACAGAUCACUGAAGAUAGAAGACGUAAUACUUUCUUCAUCCAAAGUUUUGUCUGACGGUGUUGGCAGUUUGGCAUGAAGCCCAUCUGAUGGCUUAGAGGAUGACGACCCACCUAUGCCAUGCCCCACUUAUCGUCGGUAGAAGUAUGCUGACCGUCCCGAAGUAGUGGUUCUACCAAAGUUUGACCCAAAUGAUAACACUGGUCUCAGAGUUCUUCACUACUUAUGAAAAUUAUUUCUCAAAGAAGUUCUCAGGCACAACGUAUGACCAAACCCAAAAAUUGGCUGAUUUCCUGGCUGGGGAUUUGCUCACAGUUUACCAAGUGCGAGGUGGAAGGAAGCUUAAGUACAGUGAGACGAAGCAACCGCUUUUAGACUUUCACAGGAGUCAAAUAUUUCGUGGUCGGAAGUACUGGAGAAAUGCAUUUGCCUCUGCAUCUCCACACCCGGAAGAGGACUGGUAUAUCUAUUCACCGCGCUCGUUUCAGCUGGCAGAAUUGGGAUACCCAAGUGAUAAAAAGAAAUGUGCCAUCCAGUUGAGACAGCAGUUCAUGGAUUCCUUGCCACCAUCUUUUUCCAGUAAAAUUUUGAAUACAGAACGGGCUCUGAAAGCCACCACGGGAGGCGGAAAGAGGCAUUUAACCUUCUCAGGUAUCUUGCAGAUGGCCAAGGACCUUCAGCUGUAGAAGACUAGUGUCAUGUGGUCUGAUGUGCUUAGUCUCCAUGAUCAAUCAGCGUCAGAAAAUUCCCACGAGACUCAGUCACAGCUUAAGACUAGAGUUUUCAUAGGUCAGCGUCAGGAAAUGUACGUACCAGACUUGACCCAGUGUGAUCUCUGCGGGAGCGCAUGAAGUAGCAAAACAAACUUUAGUGCCUCCUCAUAACUCAUCUCCGAUCUCAGUUGGACUUCCAACAACAAAUUCUAAAAUUAGGUGCAGUUAUUUUAAAAACCCGAAUCAUUCCAGAGAGAACUGCAGGAAGGCAUCAAGAAGGUGUCUCAUCUGUGGACGGGAGCAUCCUAUUGAGCAGUGUUCUAAGUAUGAUCCCAACCACCGUACAAAAGCUAAGAUCCAUGAUCGACCACUUUUGGGAAACAGAACUGGCUCAAAGUAAGCGGACAUAUUUUGUGGCAUACAACACUCUCCGCCUAAUUAAGAUGCUCUUGGUGAUACACGGUUGGCGAGGCCUCCAGCGGUUGACGACUGGCAUUCAGCUGAAACGUCCGUGAUAAACCAAACCCCAAGUAUUGACACCUCAUCAGUUUCUCCUGGGCUGGGUGGUUUCGACUAGCUCGAAGUGAGCCUACCUAGCAGGAGGCUGGGCGCCAGGCUGCGGUACCUCUGGAACAUCAUUGAUUGAUGCAUCAUUUGACUUGAGUAGCUUUCUGUAGGAUCUACCUACCUUGCCGGGAAGAGAGUGAGUUUGGUAGGGCGAGGUAACUCACAAUUAACCUUCAUGGUGACUAUAGAAAAAAAAAUUUUAGCUGUGAUCGACUCGGGAGCAGUGACUUCUCUCAUGUCAGCAAAGUUUGCAAGUGACCUGAAAUUUAACGCCGAGUAAUGACACAAGUGUCUUCCGCUUUAUAGAACGGAAUGAUUUUUUGUGAUUAGGAAAAGUGAAUUGUGCGUUGGAUAUUCAUGAUGUUCCCAUGUGUGACUGUAAAUUCUCUAUUUUUCCUACUUUUCCUAAUAUGAAUGUAACUUUGGA